Molecule: ribosomal RNA, 492 nt
Filed under: uncultured bacterium
Lineage: Bacteria
Description: partial 16S ribosomal RNA
Rfam family: Bacterial small subunit ribosomal RNA
Source: RNAcentral
AGUGAACGCUGGCGGUAGGCCUAACACAUGCAAGUCGAACGGCAGCACAGUAAUAGCUUGCUCUUACGGGUGGCGAGUGGCGGACGGGUGAGGAAUACAUCGGAAUCUACUUUUUCGUGGGGGAUAACGUAGGGAAACUUACGCUCAUACCGCAUACGCCCUACGGGUGAAAGCAGGGGAUCUUCGGACCUUGCGCGAUUGAAUGAGCCGAUGUCGGAUUAGCUAGUUGGCGGGGUAAAGGCCCACCAAGGCGACGAUCCGUAGCUGGUCUGAGAGGAUGAUCAGCCACACUGGAACUGAGACACGGUCCAGACUCCUACGGGAGGCAGCAGUGUGGAAUAUUGGACAAUGGGCGCAAGCCUGAUCCAGCCAUACCGCGUGGGUGAAGAAGGCCUUCGGGUUGGAAAGCCCGUUUGUUGGGAAAGAAAAGCAGCAGGUUAAUACCCCGCUGUUCUGACGGUACCCAAAGAAUAAGCACCGGCUAACUUCGUG